GCCAUUGACCCCCAACUCAGCUCGGUGCGCUAUCAAUCCUUUGAUAGCGCACUAGACCUGGUCAGGAGGGCGGGUCAUGGUGCUCUAUUGGCGAAACUAGACAUUGAGUCGGCAUUUAGGCUUCUUCCACUCCACCCCUCAGUUUUCCAUCUAAUGGGUUGUAAGUUUGCAGGUGUGUACUACGUGGAUCGCUGCCUGCCCAUGGGCUGCUCUUUGUCAUGCGCCUUGUUUGAAGCGUUCAGUAGUUUCCUUCAUUGGGUCGUAGCUUCAGAAGUGGGCAGCGAUCCCAUAGCACACUACCUGGACGAUUUUCUCAUUGUAGGGAGAGCAGGCUCCGAUGAUUGUUUAUCCACAAUGAACAUCAUGCGCAGCGUCAUGAGACAUUUCGGGGUGCCCCUGGCAGAGGACAAAACGCAAGGCCCCGCGUCCUGUUUAGUUUUCCUGGGAAUCGAAAUCGACACCCAGGCUCGGCUCUGUAGGUUGCCACCUGAUAAAGUUCAGGGCAUGCUUGAGGCGGUCAGAGCGGCAGUCUCUAAUGCAGUUAUUUCCCUGAAACAGUUACAAUCCCUGUUAGGUUUGCUUAAUUUCGCUUGCAGAGUUAUCCCCAUGGGUCGGGUUUUUAACCGUAGACUGGAAAGACAGCUUAGUGGUAGGUCAAACCCGAAAUCAAAGAUAACCCUAGGGAGUGAAUUGCUGGCUGACCUAGUAGUCUGGGAACAGUUUCUCACGCGAUUUAACGGGAUUCGGGUCUGGCGUACCCCUCCCAUGUCUAGCCAGUUACUGCACCUUUUCACUGACGCAGCUGGAUCGCACGGUUACGGGGCCUAUUUCCAGGGAGAGUGGAGCGCGGAGCCCUGGCCGGAGUCCUGGGCCCCGGCGGGCCUUACUCGAAACCUGACUCUCCUGGAGCUAUUCCCCGUGGUCUUGGCGGUCGAGCUGUGGGGUGGGAAGUUGUCAAACAGGACUGUUGUGUUCUGGACAGACAACAUCAGUGUGGUUUUUGCGAUCAAUAACUUGUCAGCCACCUCAGCAAAGGUCAUUACCUUGCUGCGCCACCUGGUGUUGCGCUGUCUGGACCUUAACAUCCAGUUCCAGGCCCGUCAUGUCCCGGGCGUUAACAAUGUUGUAGCUGACGCCCUGUCACGAUUCGAAUGGGUGACAUUUCGCAAGUUAGCCCCCACAGCUGCAGCCGUGGGUUUACGCUGUCCUGAUUUCCUUUGGCAGCUCGUCCUUCCUGGAUAGCCUUACUGCCGUUGGUCCGCUCCUCCUUAGCACCAUCCACUUGGCACGCCUAUGCCCGCAUGUGGUCUGAAUGGGACAAUUUCUGUGCGUCCAGGGGAGCCGACGCUGCUCAGGGGUCUAGGGACAACUUACAUGAUUGGCUGGCACUACCCCCGGGGUGAAGCGAAUCUGGAUUGUGGGCCACUCCUUUGUCCACUGGGCCUCCCUACGCUGUGCGUCCCUCCCAUUUGGCCAAUCCCUAGGUCUCCCUCCCAACAAGGCAUCCGUUAGGUGGUUGGGUGAUAGGGGGAUGUGCUGGCCCCAAUUAGCAGGAACCAUAUCUGAGGCCCUGGUACGCUGGGGGAAGCCUCACAUUAUUAUUCUUCACCUAGGGGGUAACGAUGUGGGGGCCAUACCAGUUUUACAGUUGAUUAAGGUUAUGCAGGCAGACAUUGGGUGGCUAAGAGUACGCAUCCCGGGGGUCAUGAUAGGGUGGUCCCAUAUAAUACCCCGUCUCCACUGGAGGCAUAUGUCGGCCCAUACGGCGGCAUACCGGGUUAGGAAGAAGAUCAAUGCGUCUGUAGCGAAAACCGUCACUGGGUCAGGUGGCUUCGUGGUACGGCACGAAGCCAUUUCGGCUGAUAGAACCGAGCUAUAUAGAAGGGAUAAAGUUCACCUUUCAGAUGUGGGGCUGGAUUUAUUCAUAGGGGACAUUCAGAGAGCUCUGUUACCCCUCCUGUAAAUCGGGUCGUGGGUUGGCGGCAAGGGUACCAUUAAAAUGCUUCCUUGUGGCGGGAGAUCCUCGGUCCGGUUGCGCAGGAGAAGGUCGCUAGGGGUGAGUGAUGGCCAGACUUCCGGGGAGGGGGGUAGGCCCUCACGUGCACGUGACGGUAACCCUCCUUCCUCCCUUUUUGAGGGAUGGUCACGUGAUCUCUGCAACCCCUCAGCGUCAUCUCCUUAGGGCAGAGACCCCUCUGCUGCUGUUCCCGUUGGGCCGGUGAUCUCCUGCUGUUCUGGGUAGCUGAUCUCUAUGCCGCCAUAUAUAUUUUCAGUUCUAUCAGUUCUAUCUAGUUUGUUAGGUUAAUAAAAUUUUAUGGCCUGUGACGGUCACAAAAUUUUCCCAUAAAAAGUUUGUCUGUGGUUAUUUCGCACUACAUUCUCAUGUACAUAGUUAUUUAAUUAAGUUAUGUUAAAUCCUCUCCUCUGUGAAGAAGGAUCCGGUAAGCAUUUAAUCCCUUAAUGCAGUGUAGGGCUUAGUAUAAGCCUGGAGCAGUCUAAGGGUUAAGGCUGUAGGAGAGUGGGUUAGAAGAGAGAGGGAAGGUGCUGGGUGCAACAUUGUUGCAAUUUAGGGUAGGCCCCUCCUUACCAGUAGAUAAGCCAAGUUCUCCCUUGCAACUUCCUCUUCUUCUCCGGAUCCUGGCUGAAGCAGUUUUUUCCCCUCCCUCCCUUCCCCUUUUGUAAUGUUUUAAUGAUGUUGUAUUUUCGACGGCACCUUAAUGGCAGGGCUAUGGCUACUCACCCUAGGCCCAAUAAGCCAUUACUGUAGGAUAUGGAUCUCCUCUCCCUGUUAUGCGGUUUACACGGCUUGGUAACAGGGAAUCCUUAUCUAGGUGGAAGAUCUUCUUUUCACCCUGGCGGCGGGAGAUCCUCGGUCCGGUUGCGCAGGAGAAGGUCGCUAGGGGUGAGUGAUGGCCAGACUUCCGGGGAGGGGGGUAGGCCCUCACGUGCACGUGACGGUAACCCUCCUUCCUCCCUUUUUGAGGGAUGGUCACGUGAUCUCUGCAACCCCUCAGCGUCAUCUCCUUAGGGCAGAGACCCCUCUGCUGCUGUUCCCGUUGGGCCGGUGAUCUCCUGCUGUUCUGGGUAGCUGAUCUCUAUGCCGCCAUAUAUAUUUUCAGUUCUAUCAGUUCUAUCUAGUUUGUUAGGUUAAUAAAAUUUUAUGGCCUGUGACGGUCACAAAAUUUUCCCAUAAAAA
Molecule: RNA transcript, 3196 nt
Organism: Bombina bombina (fire-bellied toad)
Lineage: Eukaryota; Metazoa; Chordata; Amphibia; Anura; Bombinatoridae
Exons: 2
Source: RefSeq, a predicted model, not a curated record